AAGAUCAUACUUCACAGGAUCAUUUCUGUAGUAUGCAUCGUCCCCUCCAGGUGCAAAUCUGGAGUCGUCGUAAGCCACGAUGAUGAGACUAGUUCUUUUACCAGAGCGUGAGAUCACCUNCUAGUUCUAUUACCAGAGCGUGAGAUCACCUAUAUUGACGUGCUCCUGCAAAGUUCAAUUAGGUAACGAUGAUCGCAACCAAGACUUCUUGGAAGGUAAAUGAACAGUCUGAGUGGU
Daktulosphaira vitifoliae (grape phylloxera) is the source of this 237-nucleotide small nucleolar RNA. RefSeq annotates it as small nucleolar RNA U3. The transcript has a single exon. The record is from RefSeq and is a predicted model, not a curated record. Lineage: Eukaryota; Metazoa; Arthropoda; Insecta; Hemiptera; Phylloxeridae.